UCAAAAACCGGUACCCAGUUCGGAUUGUAGGCUGCAACUCGCCUACAUGAAGUCGGAGUUGCUAGUAAUCGCGGAUCAGAAUGCCGCGGUGAAUGCGUUCCCGGGUCUUGUACACACCGCCCGUCACACCAUGGAAGUUGGGGGCGCCCGAAGUUGGUCGGGAAAUAGAUUACCUAAGGCGAAACCAAUGACUGGGGUGAAGUCGUAACAAGGUAAC
Molecule: ribosomal RNA, 217 nt
Filed under: uncultured bacterium
Lineage: Bacteria
Description: partial 16S ribosomal RNA
Rfam family: Bacterial small subunit ribosomal RNA
Source: RNAcentral